RNAcentral lists this ribosomal RNA (428 nucleotides) under uncultured bacterium. Its description in RNAcentral is "bacterial SSU rRNA". It matches the Rfam family "Bacterial small subunit ribosomal RNA", at positions 356 to 775 of the family's 1533-position model. The record is from RNAcentral.
GGGGAAUUUUGCGCAAUGGGGGAAACCCUGACGCAGCAACGCCGCGUGAGUGAUGAAGGCCUUCGGGUCGUAAAGCUCUGUCAGAGGGGAAGAAAUGCAGGGGUGCUAAUGUCAUCUUUGCUUGACGGUACCCUCAAAGGAAGCACCGGCUAACUCCGUGCCAGCAGCCGCGGUAAUACGGAGGGUGCGAGCGUUGUUCGGUAUUAUUGGGCGUAAAGCGCGUGUAGGCGGUUUGAUAAGUCUGAUGUGAAAGCCCCGGGCUCAACCUGGGAAGUGCAUUGGAAAAUGGCAGACUUGAAUACGGGAGAGGGUAGUGGAGUUCCUAGUGUAGGAGUGAAAUCCGUAGAUAUUAGGAGGAACACCGGUGGCGAAGGCGGCUACCUGGACCGAUAUUGACGCUGAGACGCGAAAGCGUGGGGAGCAAACAG